ACGCUCGACACCUACGGGAGGAGCAGUGGGGAAUAUUGCACAAUGGGGGAAACCCUGAUGCAGCGACGCCGCGUGAGCGAAGAAGUAUUUCGGUAUGUAAAGCUCUAUCAGCAGGGAAGAAACUGACGGUACCUGACUAAGAAGCACCGGCUAAAUACGUGCCAGCAGCCGCGGUAAUCUGAGGCGGCUGGCAAGGC
Molecule: ribosomal RNA, 197 nt
Filed under: uncultured bacterium
Lineage: Bacteria
Description: partial 16S ribosomal RNA
Rfam family: Bacterial small subunit ribosomal RNA
Source: RNAcentral